RNAcentral lists this transfer RNA (95 nucleotides) under Candidatus Cloacimonadota bacterium. RNAcentral's name for it is "Candidatus Cloacimonetes bacterium tRNA-Sec". It matches the Rfam family "Selenocysteine transfer RNA". Lineage: Bacteria; Pseudomonadati; Candidatus Cloacimonadota. The record is from RNAcentral.
AGAGAGGAUGGAACUGGUGUUUCAACUGGUCUUCAAAACCAGUAAUGGGCAGCUAAAACUGUCUACGGCAGGUUCGAUUCCUGCCCUCUCGGCCA